Molecule: microRNA precursor, 71 nt
Filed under: Paramuricea clavata
Lineage: Eukaryota; Metazoa; Cnidaria; Anthozoa; Malacalcyonacea; Plexauridae
Source: RNAcentral
UUUGUAUUACGUGCGGAAAUUGUUACCAUUUUUGAGCCGAAAAUGGUAACAAGUUUCGCACGUAAUACAAA